CCACUGACAAGACAGAAAACAUUUCCAAUUAGUCCUUUAACAGCAUUCUCUUCCCAGAAACAUUUCCCACAUUACCCCUUACCAUCCGGCACUUUUAACCAGGGUGACGCCGGCCCUUCCCCUUUUCCCCCGCCAUCAGGGUGAACAGAUGCUGCAUGCAAGCCGAAGCAUUUCUGAUGGCAUCGCAAAAAAGCCACCUGCACGCUUCCCUCUUUCGUCUACCCUUUUUAAAAAACACAAACAUUCUGCGUAAAGGACCAAAGACUCAUCAAGCAACAGUUGCUUGCAAUCAUGGAAAGAAAAGCCCACGUAACUCCACCGGGGAAUGAAACGACCUGCUGACUGCCACUAGGUCAGUUUGACAGCGGCAAAUAUUAGGUACUCAGCACUCAAACGCACCGUAGGAAACAGCUUGCUAAAAAUAGCAACUUAAUAGACUCCAGCCCUGAAAUGCAAAUCGUCAUCGUAACCUUCCCUCUCCAUGUUGUACCGACAGCUGUGCUCAGCAGCUGAGCCAUCGCACAACUCCUCACUGAACUCCCCCCGGUUCCUCCAACAGGGCCAGCGGUACCGCAGCCUCUCUCCAAACAGCCAACACUGCCAAAAACUGGAUGAAUUUUGAUACCUCUCAACCACAAAACUUUAACUUUCAGACCCCACCAACUCUCUGCUUCUGAGCAAGGGUGAAGCAAACAAUAGGACGAGCAGGGCCAAAGCAAAGCUCGGGGGAAACGGGCUUCUCCGGCGCAUGCCGCUCGGCAUCGCCGGCAUCCUGCCCCCGUUGCACGCAACCGGACGCAUUCGGCUGGCACGCACCUCACGGCGGCUUCCUGGUGCAACCUUACAGCUUUGCACACCCUGUUUACGUGCAACGCUCGGUGCGGAAGUGAAAGACCUUUAGAUCCAGCUCACUCUUAAACCAAGCCUCUGCCUCCUGCUACAGCCGAAACACAGGCCCAGCACGCCACCAACCCUAGGCAGAGGGUCCCAAAAGGCAGACCCAGAACAUCAUCAGCCCUAGGAAGAGGGUCCCCAGCCCCUUCUUACACCACAGAAUGCCUCCAGUCCUCAUCCACAGCACCUACCAGGCCUUAAGAGCCAGAAGCCCUCUCUCACUUUACAAGCCUUCACAUCUACAAAACAGGUUUCUUGCUUCCUUGUCUGCAAUACCAGGGAGCACCAUUCACACCCGUCCUGACCCGAUCUGGUGCCGUGGGCCAGGAGACGCUGCACAGGAUCCGUUAAAAAUUAAAUUAAUGAUGCUGACGGAUGGCCGCCCUGUACCUGCUUGGGUGUGGGAUCCUGCUUCCAGCCCCUCUGUGCUGGGAUUGCCUGGAGCCGGGAGCACUGGGAGCACUGGGAGCUGGGAGUGCCUGGCUCGUCCCCAGGUUUUGCUGAGGUUUUGUGAUGCCUGACGAGGGACAACACCAGCUGCCAGGCCCCGUCACAACCUCCCGCAGCAAAAAUCUCCUCUGUUUUUUAGCAGCUAAACUGCCCGUCCUGGUGUGUGUACGCUUAGUCCCUAAACUAGACAUAACCCUAAUCCUAAUCUUAACCUCAGUCUGGUUUUAGACAUACUCACAGUCCUGUAUUUAAUCUCAUUCCAAUCCCAGAUGGAAACCUAGCCCAGAUCCCAAUCGCAGCCCUAACCCCAAUCCCACAUUUAGACCUAACGUCAAUCCCAGACCCAAUCCCAGCCCUAACCCCAAACCUAGAUCCAAUCCCAGCCCUAACCCCAACCCCAGAUCCAAUCCCAGCCCCAUUCCCAGCCCUAACCCCCAUCCCAGCCCC
Long non-coding RNA from Aquila chrysaetos chrysaetos, 1791 nucleotides. RefSeq lists it as uncharacterized. NCBI's taxonomy places the organism in Eukaryota, Metazoa, Chordata, Aves, Accipitriformes, Accipitridae. The record is from RefSeq and is a predicted model, not a curated record. The transcript has 3 exons.